Molecule: small nucleolar RNA, 208 nt
Organism: Nycticebus coucang (slow loris)
Lineage: Eukaryota; Metazoa; Chordata; Mammalia; Primates; Lorisidae
Product: small nucleolar RNA U3
Exons: 1
Source: RefSeq, a predicted model, not a curated record
AAGACUAUACUUUCAGGGAUCAUUUCUAUAGUUUGUUACUAGAGAAGUCUCUCUGAAUGUGUAGAGCACGGGAAACCACCAGGAGGAGGUGCAGCUUUUCUCCUGAGCGUGAAGCCGCCUCUCGGUGUUGCUUAUUGCCACUUGCCUUUGAUGAUGGUUCUUCUCUCCCUUUGUGGGGGUAAGAGGGAGAGAAUGCAGUCUGAGUGAU